AUGAAUGCUGGCGGCGUGCCUAAUACAUGCACGUCGAGCGAACAGAUGAGGAGCUUGCUCCUCUGACGUUAGCGGCGGACGGGUGAGUAACACGUGGAUAACCUACCUAUAAGACUGGGAUAACUUCGGGAAACCGGAGCUAAUACCGGAUAAUAUAUUGAACCGCAUGGUUCAAUAGUGAAAGACGGUUUUGCUGUCACUUAUAGAUGGAUCCGCGCCGCAUUAGCUAGUUGGUAAGGUAACGGCUUACCAAGGCAACGAUGCGUAGCCGACCUGAGAGGGUGAUCGGCCACACUGGAACUGAGACACGGUCCAGACUCCUACGGGAGGCAGCAGUAGGGAAUCUUCCGCAAUGGGCGAAAGCUUGACGGAGCAACGCCGCGUGAGUGAUGAAGGUCUUCGGAUCGUAAAACUCUGUUAUUAGGGAAGAACAAAUGUGUAAGUAACUAUGCACGUCUUGACGGUACCUAAUCAGAAAGCCACGGCUAACUACGUG
Molecule: ribosomal RNA, 496 nt
Filed under: uncultured bacterium
Lineage: Bacteria
Description: partial 16S ribosomal RNA
Rfam family: Bacterial small subunit ribosomal RNA
Source: RNAcentral